RNAcentral lists this ribosomal RNA (253 nucleotides) under uncultured bacterium. RNAcentral describes it as "partial 16S ribosomal RNA". It matches the Rfam family "Bacterial small subunit ribosomal RNA", at positions 524 to 776 of the family's 1533-position model. The record is from RNAcentral.
UACGAAGGGGGCUAGCGUUGCUCGGAAUUACUGGGCGUAAAGAGCGUGUAGGCGGCCAGGUAGGUCUGCUGUGAAAACUCGAGGCUCAACCUCGAGAUGUCGGCGGAAACCAUCUGGCUAGAGUCCGGAAGAGGAGAGUAGAAUUCCUGGUGUAGCGGUGAAAUGCGCAGAUAUCAGGAGGAAUACCCGUGGCGAAAGCGGCUCUCUGGGACGGUACUGACGCUGAGACGCGAAAGCGUGGGGAGCAAACAGG